CCCAUGGGGCAUUUUGAAAAUGCUUGACACUGGAGCUGGAGGAGUACUUGAUGAGGACUCAGGGGUGUACUUGGACCUCUGAGAGUAAUGGGAGGUGGAAGCUCUCAGUAGGCAGGGACCUGACCACCUGGUUUACCCUCAGGUGUGAAAGAGUGUUACUCUGGACAGACUCUAGCCCUGACUCCCUUCACUGACUCAGCAUCAAAGGGGUUUUCAGUCCCACUGUCACCCUGACUGGAGCCCACCCCCAGGUCCCCAAUAGUGCAAGCAGAGACUCAAUGCCUCUGUCUACCCCCACGAAACCUGAGGAAGAAGGUGCUGACCCCUUCCAGCCUCCAUGAUGGCAGAGCAGAGUGAAUCUCGGUGUCCUCACACCCAGCCAGAGAGCAGAGAUAUCAACGAGGGUAGAUCACCGUCAGCAGUGUCCUGUGGAAAAUUCGCAGAUUGCCAGAACACAGAGGGGAGCUACUACUGCACACGCAUUCCAGGAUAUGAGCUUGCUUGUGGGGCAAGAAUGUUCAGGAAUGAGAGUGAGAACAUGUGUGAAGCCUGUGGGAAAAUCAGAUGGCUACGAUCUGAUAGAUUGUUCUUCUGGGGGCAGGAAGGCUGAUAUGGACCACCCCCACCACCACUUGGAGAUUCAGGUGAAUGGAAGAGGAUCCCAUCUGAACAAAAUGGCAAGAGAGGGCAUAAUUUGGGACCAUUGCCCCAAGCUUGACUCUCUUCCAAGGGGGUCAACCCAGGUCCCAUGUCAACUCAGACCACUUGGGGACAGAUUAUGGAGGCUAAGCCCGUUUGGCAGGGCCCAGAGCCUGUGUCCUUUGUUGGGAUACGGGGCCAAGAAGACAGAAACCCCUGCCUCCCCUCACCAUUAUCACCUGUCCCCCAUUCCAGCCACUUGGCCCUUGCCAACCUAUACCUUGCUCAGAUGUGGAUUCUUGCCACUUCCUGCCAGUCCAAGCAUGCCUUCAUGGGAAUCAGAAAAAGUUACGUUCAUCACCCCAAGGCCUCUUGGCUGAACAUCAGCCCCCACUGUCCUCCUCAGCUUGGUGCCCACUGUCUGGGUAGACCAGGACUGGUUAGAACAAUUUUUAUUCUCUCUUCUUCUAUAGAUGGCUUUCUCCUUUAGGAGCCUGGCUCAGGUUUGGGUCCUGGUGCAUCUCCAUGGAGCUGGAGUCUCAGAUAUAGUGUGGAUGAGAGAACACUGUCCUGCAAGGGUCACCGGGAUUCCAAGGGCAAUGCAGGCAGCAAGCAGUUGCCCUGGAAAUUAGGAUAAAAUCCAUCACUGGGAACCAAGAUGUUCCUGCUUGGGGAUCACAGUAUUCCCUUGCACUUGGAUCCCAGGAAGGCCCAUCCAAAUCCUCAGGCUAUAACACAAGUGGCCAUGAUGUCCCUGUCCUACCAGCCAGCAUCCCAGAGAGUCUGAGGGAACAAGAGCUGGCAGAUGGAGAGGACUUGGACCACUUCUGGCAACAUCUGGACAACAGAAUAUCGGGUUUGUGCCAUGCCAGGCUAUGAUAUGGCUUGGUGUUCUAUGCCAGGAGCCAAAGUGGUCCUUCCUAUGGGGAGACACAAGCAUAACCUCUGCGCCAAGUGAUGAGUUCAUGGAGAACUUGCCAUAGAUUUGAAUUUAGGUCUUUCCAUAAGACUAAGGAACAUGGCCCCAGGGAUUCCCAUGUGAAAUGUUAUAUUUUAACCCCAUUUUUUAAUGGGGUAAAAAUUGAUCUUUCAAACUAAAGUAAUUUAGUGUUAGAAGUGCUUUAUAUAACAGAAAUCAGUGGCUUUCUUAUACACUAACAAUGAAAAUACAG
Long non-coding RNA from Enhydra lutris kenyoni (northern sea otter), 1811 nucleotides. RefSeq lists it as uncharacterized. Lineage: Eukaryota; Metazoa; Chordata; Mammalia; Carnivora; Mustelidae. The record is from RefSeq and is a predicted model, not a curated record. The transcript has 3 exons.